CCAAAGGCUCUUUUCAGAGCCACACACAAAGUCCAGAAAGAAGCUG
This is a non-coding RNA of Mus musculus (house mouse), 46 nucleotides long. NCBI's taxonomy places the organism in Eukaryota, Metazoa, Chordata, Mammalia, Rodentia, Muridae. The record is from Rfam.